Molecule: long non-coding RNA, 5516 nt
Organism: Oreochromis niloticus (Nile tilapia)
Lineage: Eukaryota; Metazoa; Chordata; Actinopteri; Cichliformes; Cichlidae
Exons: 2
Source: RefSeq, a predicted model, not a curated record
GAAACGUCUUCAAGCAACUUAAAGAAGUCCAGACGCUUUUCUUUGCAAACUCCUUUGACUACGAUGACCUGGAUGACUGAGAACCUUCACAGACAAACCUCUUUCAGGUUGAUGGCAGCGUGUGGCGCUGUGUGUGUGUGGUAGCCUCAGGUUGUUCAGCCUCGGCUUUGUUGAAGCUCAGAUCCGCAGCAGGAAGUGUUUCCGCUGGCUUUUGUUUAAAGGUUGUGCUGUUGUGUGAGUGUGUGGCAGCUUUCCUUUGUGUUUGCCAGGCUCAUUACGAUCCUCUGAUUCUUUUUAUGCAGCUCAGUCACAAGGCUCCGUGUCCUCCACACAUAAUUCAUGUCAGAGUGCAGAGAGCGGGAUCGAGACUCCAAUCAAAGGACUUUGAUCAGACUCACACUCGGCAGAGGAAGCUCGUUACAGACUCAUUAUUGUCCUGAAUGAAUCUCGUUUACAGCUGCUUCAUUGCCUUUGAAAACUCUGACAUGCUCUGACAUCUGUUUGAUUUUAAUCUGUUUUUGUGGCUCAUCAUUGAUCAGUGAGGAGCUGCUAUGCUGCCUUCACUGCCCUCUGUUCCUCUGAGCCUCCACAGUUUAAAGUCUCAGCUGUUGGCUAGUCUGCUGCUGUCUGUUGUGGACAGACGGAGCUUUGAUGUAUUUCAGGUUUCAGGUUUACAGUAACUUUUGUAAGGGGAGGAGCCUCCAUCUUUUUGUGAGAGGAUGUCAUGAUGUCAUCACCUGGUUGGAGCCCAGCUUCAGUCUGCCUGUUGAGGUUUUAUUUAAAGCGAGAGCUUCAGACUCAGAUCUGCAUGUCUGAUCGAAUUUCUGGUGAAUGAUGAAUUCAAGUGUGCAGGUCAGACAACACACAGAGGCUCCAUACCAGGAGACAUACAGACCGCCAGCACCUCUCAGCCAAUCAGAUCGCGCACACACAGUGCGCCCCUGUGUGUUUGCGUUCCAACUGAUCCGAUCUGCGCUGCCGCCUGGGCUGGACGAGCCUCCGGAGGCAGAGCGGGCUCAGAUAACGAGGAUGGUUUCUGCAGCAGCUGCAGGACGCUGACGUAACUCCUCCCACUGAGCUGCUGAACGUGCUGCCAAGAUCCAAACAUUAACGGCAAGAAGACGGAGUGUGCUGCACUCAGCUCGCGGUCUAAUUUUAGCUCAGAGACAAACCAGUAGAUCUCUGCGGCCGACACAUUAACUGUGUGUGUGCUUGCGUGUGUGUGUGUGUGUGUGUGUGUGUGUGUGCGUGCGUGCCUGAGUGUGUGUGUGCGUGCUCAUAUGAGAGAGUGUGUGUGUGUGUAUGAGAGUGUGCAUGUGUGUGGGUAUACCUGUUUAGACAUCUCUGUUGGGACCUAAACUGGAAUGUUACCAUCCUUGUGGGGACCAAAUGCCCAUCCUCAGAGUUUGCAGACAUAUUUGAGGCUCAAAUGUGGUUUUCGUGUCAGGGUUACAGUUAGGCUGAGGGUUAGGGUAAGCAUAGAUGUCCUUACUAAGAUAUCAAAUCGAGAAUGUGUGUGUGUGUGUGUGUGUGUGUGAGACACCCUGCCAGCUGAAUGCCAAACAGUGAAGUCACGCUGUGUGAAUCAUGAGUCAGCGACAUUAGCGAGGAAUUAACAGAAGACUCCACAUCUCCGCAGACCGAGCAGCUGAUCAGUGUUGCCACAGUUACUUUGAAAAAGUAAUAUAUUACGGACUACUGAUUACUUUAUUUUUAAAGUAACUAAGUUAGAUUACUAGUUACUUUAUUAGUUACUUUCAGAAGCUGCCAAUAACACUUCCCACUGCCUCAACAUAUAAACAUCAACCGGUUUUGCCAAUACUCACUUUAUUGGAAGUGUAAUGUCAACAAUAUAUCUCCUGACAUUUGAAGUUGAACUUAAAACUUUUUUCCUGACAGAAAUACUUGUUUGUAUGAAAAUAAAGACAGUCUUGUUACUUCAUGCUUUUUUUAAAAAAUAAAAAAUAAGAGUCUUUCUUGACUUCAUUUAACAUAAAUUCUUUUUAUAAAAAACAAAAACAAACAAAGUCUUUCUUGACUUCCCUUAAGAUACCAUCCACAUGUAAGCACUAUUGUCUGCUUUUGUAACUUCGGACUAAUCUUAUGAAAAAAAAGAGACUGCAGGUCCAACUUAAAUAAAUUGCCUUACUUCCUUGCAAGUAAUUGAUUUAAGUUAAUCAACUUGACAACUUUAAUAAGUUUAUUAAGUGACUUUGAUAAACUUAAUUCAAUUACUUGUAAAUAGUUAUUUAAAUUGGAUUCCCUAUUCUCUUUUUUUCAGUAUAUGUUGUCAUCGCAUGUUAUGGGGGAAACAGUAGAGUGGAACGAGUAAACCAGUGGUUGUACCUCAUUAACAGAAGCUUCUCAAACCUUUUAUCAGAAAGUCGAUUUCUUUUAGACGUGAGCACCAAACCUCCCAGACUAAAAAGUCGCUCCACAGGAGCACUUGAUGGGGUUGGAGUGUUAUACUUUAAAAAAAUUGUCUGUAUGCUUGAAAACUUAUGCAGAAUCUGAAGGUCGUAGCCUGACAUCAGGUAGUCCAUGACUUCUUUUUCUGCAGAAUAGGUCUCCUCCUCUGGCUCUGCCUCAAAAGUGAAAAAGUCCAUCUCACCUUGGCUGCUAGAUGUAGUAGCACUGGGCACACUGGCAGGAUUUUUUGCAACAGGAGCAGUGGUGCAACACUCUGCUGUCAGAAGCUGUUUUACUCGCUCCCUCCUUCCUGCAUCUCUCAGCCAUCGGAGUUUGAAUUUUGGACAACUGGCAGCUGCGAGAAGGGCAUCUUUGUCGUCCAGCACACCGGCAAAACGAGUCUGAAUAGCCUAAAAAACAUAAUCGAUAUUUUUAUGCCUACAAUUUAUUAUGUUAUUGAAUUACUUGCAAACCAUGCCUAAUAUGAGAUCAAUAUAUCACGGCUAAAGCACUUUCUGGAUGGAUGCAAACUGCAUUUCGUUGCCCUGUACCUGUGACAUGUGCAAUGACAAUAAAGUUGAAUUCUAUUCUAUUCUAUUCUAUUCUAUUCUAUAUUUUGGAUUUAAUUUUGUUUUAGCUUACUUAUAAACAUUUUAAUUGUUUUAAUCUUAUUUUGUAAUGAUAAUUAAUAUUCUGUUCCAUGUUUGUGAAUUGUAUGAAGCAAAAAAUUUGACUAAUUUCAAGAUGGAGCGUACCAGUACAAUGGCAUCUGGAAGGCCUGCCAUCAUCCUGGAGAGGUCAUAUUUCACAGCCUGGGUCUUCUGCAUCAGAACUUCAAGUGUUGGUAGUAAAGUUCCAUAUGGACAGUCGCCUUGUAAAAUGCCCAGUGCUGCAGUCAGAGGUUUCAUGGCCAUGCAGUACUCAUGCAGGAACUGGUAUUCUUGAUCUUUGAAGCACUUCAAAGAUAGCAAUAUCUUAGCCAAUAUAAGAAUAAGAAUAAGAAUAAGAACAACUUUAUUUAUCCCGAGGGAAAUUCUUUUGUCAUGUACAUGCUCAAAGCAGCAGGAGAGACAGAGGAACAGAUGAAAUAGAUAUAAGAUAUACAAUAUAUACAAUAAGAAUAGUGUACAGUAAUAUACAGUAGGAUAGUGCAAGACAAAUAAUCGGAUAACUCUAACAAAGUAAUAUACAUAACUAUAUCCUGGUGAAUAAAUAACUAAACUAUCAGUGCAGGCGGUUCUAGAAAGUGACAAAGUAUUGUGCAAUAGAAUAAAGGGAGUAGCAGCAUAUGAUGGGGGGAUGAAAACAAAUAUUCAAUAAGUACUCUUGGGUAAUAUUGCACGGUCUGGAGGGAACAGAAUAACAUAGGUAAUAGUCUUAGGAGAAUCACCUACAGAGUGAGGAAGAGUUAAACAGUCUUAUUGCUACCGGUACAAAGGAUUUCCUGUGACGGUCAGUUCUGCAUUUCGGGGCAAUGAGUCUUUUGCUGCGUUUAUAUACCUAAUCAGAGUAAGAUCACUGUUAAAAAACGCUUCCUUAAAGAAAACUCAGCUGAAUAUUUUAAACUGAUGUACACUUCUACCUUAUUUAAAUCACCAACAUCCACCAACACACAUUCAGUAAACAAACUGACAGAUGAUUUUCUAUCCAAAAUCUCAGACAUGAUGGAUAAGAUUGCACCAUUCAAGGUUAAAACUGUCUCUAGUAAAAAGAAAUCUCCAUGGAGAAGUGAUCCACUGGUAUGUAAUGAAAAAAGAGAGUGCCGGCGUGCUGAGAGAAAAUGGCGGAAAACUCGACUCCAGGUUCACUGCGAGAUAUAUAAAGAGAGGCUGAAUAAGUAUCAACUAGCCCCGAAGGAUGCAAGGGAGUCAUUUUUCUCUGAGAUUAUUCAUAUAAACAACAAUAAUGCUAGGACUACAGUGGAGAGAUUAACUUCUCCCCCAGUGUCAAUAGCCCCUGAAUUAAGCUCCACCAGGGCCUGCAAUGAAUUUGCCAACUUCUUUAUUGAAAAGAUCUUGAAAAUCAGAAGGUCAAUUGGCACAUUAGUUUCAACUCCAAUCCCGACGUUAAGCCCAAUUAGCACUUAUGCAGAGAAAAUGACUCACUUUCAAACAAUAAAUCAAUCAAGCCUCGAUAAAAUUAUUGAGAAUCUAAGCUCUGCCACCUGCUGCUUGGAUAUAUUACCGACAGGUUUUCUUAAAAAGGUCCUCCCAGCCAUCAGGGAGGAUCUGAUCCAAAUAGUUAACGCAUCCAUCCUAUCAGGUGUCUUUCCCAAAGCGUUAAAAACAGCAGUUAUCAAACCAAUAUUAAAGAAAAAGAAUCUAGACAGUACAUUAAUGCAAAACUACAGACCAAUCUCUAAUCUUCCAUUUAUCGGUAAAGUUAUUGAAAAAGCUGUUUUCCAGCAGUUAAACAGCUUUCUCACAAAGAACAACCGUUUUGAUAUUUAUUAGUCUGGUUUUCAUAGGCACCACAGCACCGAGACAGCCCUUGUCAAAGUGUUUAAUGACAUCCGUAUAAAUACUGACCGUGGGAAAUCCACAGUAUUGGUACUACUGGACCUUAGUGCGGCGUUCGACACCGUUGAUCAUGAUAUAUUACUGGAACGUCUAGAGAGCUGGGGCGGACUCUCUGGUACAGCACUCAACUGGUUUAAGUCCUACCUUAAGAACAGGAACUUCUAUGUGUCAAUUAGCCAAUUUUCAUCACAAAAUAUAGAAAUCACAUGCAGGGUUCCCCAGGGUUCCAUCCUAGGGCCCCUCUUAUUUAGCAUUUACAUGCUCCCGUUAAGACAGAUUAUAACCACCAAUAAUAUUAACUACCACAAUUAUGCAGAUGAUACUCAACUUUAUAUUUCAAUGUCACCAGGUGAUGUUGAACCUAUCCAAACCCUUAAUAAAUGCAUUGAGCAAAUUAAUAACUCAUAAUGUCUCAUAAUUUCCUUCAACUGAACAAUAACAAAACUGAAGUACUCAUCUUUGGACCCAAAAAAGAUCGAUUAAAUAUCAGUACUCAGCUCAAACUGGUCCAACUAGAAACUACCGACCAGGCCAGAAAUUUAGGUGUAAUAAUGGACUCAGACCUGAACCUCCAGGGCCACAUAAAAG